GGAUGUGAGGGCCACAUGGCUGCAACAUCUGUCACCCCAUGGAUCACCAGGGUUCAUUCAGCUGAUCUGGCUGGCUAGGCAGGUGUCCCCUUCCUCCCUCACCCCUCCAUGUGCGUGCUCAGCGGGAGAGGAUGACCUUCCCUGGUAGAGGAGGACCAUUCUUCAGUCAAAGGUAUAAGAGUAGCUGCGCUCACCUGCUAGAACCUCCAAACAAGCUCUCAAGAAUUCAUUUAAAUUUCAGAUAGACAAUGAAUAAUAUUUUAAUGUCAAUAUGUCUUAUGCAAUUCUGGAGUCAUAU
RNAcentral lists this small nuclear RNA (298 nucleotides) under Propithecus coquereli (Coquerel's sifaka). Its description in RNAcentral is "7SK RNA (ENSPCOG00000001180.1)". It matches the Rfam family "7SK RNA". Rfam says of the family: 7SK was discovered as an abundant small nuclear RNA in the mid-70s but a possible function has only recently been suggested. Two independent studies have found that 7SK RNA binds the CDK9/cyclin T complex (known as elongation factor P-TEFb). Lineage: Eukaryota; Metazoa; Chordata; Mammalia; Primates; Indriidae. The record is from Rfam by way of RNAcentral.